This 298-nucleotide ribosomal RNA is filed under the name uncultured bacterium. Its description in RNAcentral is "partial 16S ribosomal RNA". It matches the Rfam family "Bacterial small subunit ribosomal RNA", at positions 1047 to 1346 of the family's 1533-position model. The record is from RNAcentral.
GGCUUUCGUCACCUCGUGUCGUGAAAUUUUGGUUUAAUUCCCGAAAGGAGCGCACCCUUUUCCUUGUUUUCCCAGCGGUAAUGGUGGGCACUUUAAGGAGACUGCCGGUGACAAACCGGAGGAAGGUGGGGAUGACGUCAAGUCAUCAUGGCCCUUACGGCCAGGGCUACACACGUGCUACAAUGGUCGGUACAAAGGGUUGCCAAGCCGCGAGGUGGAGCUAAUCCCAUAAAACCGAUCGUAGUCCGGAUCGCAGUCUGCAACUCGCCUGCGGAAGUCGGAAUCGCUAGUAAUCGGA